ACGCCCGCAAUCUCCGUCGCUCCCAUGCCUCAGCAGUGACGGGCAUGGCCAAAACAGCGUCGCGCACUGUGUAGGAUAACAGUGGGUACUUUUCUCCCCUUUAAUAUUUCCUUCCCCCUCUCCUUGCAUCCUGUUCGCCUUAGCCUCCAAACUGACUACUCGAAUCCUUCUUCGUCGCUGCUCCUCACUUUCGUUUUGCCACCCACUGUCAUCAUGGGAGCGUUUGGUGUGGUCUUGGUGCCCGCCAUGCCCUAGCCUUUGUCGGCUGCUCCGUAAGCCUAGGUUUGCUCGGCUACAUCCCUUCAGUUCGUGUGCCUCUGCAUUUGUCGGCUCUUUAGGUAUUUGCUUCGUUAGGGUGGUAUUGGCAUGGUUAAUUUCUCACUCCAUUGAUUAUUUGUGUUAGCAUUUGGUAUGUUGACAUGGUUGUCAGGGCUUAGGUAGCACUCAUAGGUCCCGAGUUUGACUCCAGUAUUCUAUUGCCUGCACCCAUAGCAAAUCGAUUCCAGUUGAGUGGCUGCUACCCGAGCUCGGGAUGCUUGAAGGGCUACCUAAAAUAACAUUCAGUAAAACAUGGGUGGUACUGGUAUUGGUACCCGAGCUCUAUGGGCGCUACCUCCUCUAUCUUCCUGAGCUUAGGUAGCAUCCAUAGGUCGUGAGACCUAUGUAUUGUCCCAUAAAUCAAGCCCAAAUCUGAUUAGGUACCAUUAGGUACAGAUUCCGGAUCAAACUCGAUUCGGUCUGGAUGUAGCCAUUUUUUAAGUUAUGCACAAGCUAACUGUUUUUGUCAUCUACGAGAUGCAAAAAUGUUUUUCUCUGCUUCAUUGCAUGCAUAUCGUCCUCUAAAAGGGCACUAGCCUCUACUUAUCUGUGUACAUGUCCUUGUUGUUUGGUUAAUUCUUAUGAGCUGUUUUUUUUCCAGUUGUCUGGGUGCUUCCUGCCUAGGUGACUUUUGUCGCAACUUGGAGGAGACCACUCACCAGUUUGCCUUUCCGAUUGGUGAGUAUGUAUGCCUAUGCACCAAGCCCUUUUUUAAGUCAUAUUUAGAUAGCCAGAUUGCUAAUGGAAAGCCUUGCUUUGGAAAGCUUUCUGAAAGCAAAUUUAUACAAACAUUCAACUACAUAUUCAGAUAGUCAGAUUGUUGAUGGAAUUGUUUUGCUCAUUGUUUUUUAAAGCAAUUGCUAUCUAGCUUCCAAGCAAAUGGUAACAUUUUGUGCUCGCUUUGGUUUCAGGAAUUUCCUGUCCUUGUCCAUGUUCUCGCAGAGGAGAUGGGCUGGUUUAUGAGAACAUUUGAGGAUGGGAACACAGCUAGCAGCAUAGGAUCCAUGACAUAACAGGUGAGGUUUUCUGAACAACAUGGUUCUGUCCAUGUAAAAACUAAACGAUCUUUUUAGUGUAUAUGCCCAUAGUUUCUAAAGUUUAUCUUUAAAAUUGUACCAUUGUACAUGCUAUGAAUUAUCAGCUACCAUUAAUGUUCUAUUAGUUUAGUUUUAAAAUUUAUGCUCAAACUAUAUUGCUAUAUUUUUUAACCCUAAACUAAACACAUAUUUUUACCAGAACAAUUAUGUCUUAGCCAAAAAUGUUGGUCUACCAUCACAAAGAAAUAGAUUGUACUUGCACGAUUUCAUGAAAAUAGAAUUUUAACGCACCAUAAGCCUCUUUAUUGAUGAUUUGGUAAUUCCAGUUGGAACCUCAAUUUUUUCUAUGGGUUAUGUUCAUUUAAUGUUACUUGUAUCAACCGUGUACUUUUGUAAGCCUUCUAGACUCUCGCCUUAUUUCAGUCUUUGACUAUUUCUAUAAUUUCCAUAGAUAAGCUUCAGUUAUUGGUUGAUGUUAUUUUCUCAUCUCUCAGUUUAUACCUGCUAGCAUGCCUAGAGUUAACUAUAUAUCUACUCUCUUGUGGUAUUUUGUGUAGCCCUGUUAAUUAUUGUGCAGCAGCGGAGAAGAUCGAGAAGACUGUCGCACGCGUUUGCUAUAGGGAGUAGACUGUCGAGAAGACUGUCGCACGCGUUUUCGAAUAAGUGAGUACCAAUUUCCAUCAUAACUAAAACAUUGAAUUGUGACAGUUUGCUUUCUUCUAGCAGUGCCUUGGCAUUAGUAGAUCCCUUAGCUCAAUGCCAAAUCAGAAAGUGACGUUUUCCCACAAAUAAUUGUUUCCCACAAAUGCAAGCAUCCCAGUCGUUACAAUAAAGAGAAUCGCAAUUUGCAUUUAUGUAAAUCUUGUGUGCUUUAUAACAAGAGAUCCAUUUAAUAUACUCCUAGCUUCAAUUUCACAUGAUAGCUUCAUUUUUCCAAUCCCCUCCAUUCUUGUUGCUUCCAUACUAGCCCUUAGAGUGUUGAUCAAGCCGACGGUCUCCAUAGAAGCAACCUGCAAGGUUAGUCCAGCAAGUAGCACCAAUUAUAGUCUGUAAGAAUAGCAAUACUAAAUCUUCUAUGUGAAAUUUAUGCAUUGGCAGCGUACAUGGAUUAGUAGUUUUGUGAGACAAAGUUAAAUAGAGGCAACACAGGAGAAUUGGGACAGGGUGCACGGUUCCACACAUAUUCUUAUGCUUGUGUGAUGGCUUGAUUCUUUCCUCUGAAAGUAAUUCUUAAGCUAUGAUUUAUUUUCUGCAGGUCCAGUUUUUCGCCUCUGUUUUAUGCACUUAAUGAAUAAACUAGCCUUUCAUGUUUUGUCCUUCAGUGUAACUUGAUUUUGUUACCUAUUGCUUUCACUUUCAAUGAUUUUGGUUUAUUCUGUUAUGCUGUUAUCAUGUGGCAUUUUUUCAUCUCAUCAAUAUCACAAAUUCUAUCCUCUUCAUAAUGUUGCUAGCUCUUAGGAGAUCCUAAAUGAAUGUAUAUCUGAUCUCGGUCAUGCAGAUGCAUCAUUUUAGUGGUUGUUGGUAAUCCGAUCUGUGAUAUUAUCGAACACAUUGAUUUAAAAACUCGGCCGGAGAGGAAAAGACCGCCCUCCUGGUCUUAACCAUCCUACAAAAAGAUUUAAAAGUUCUGAUGAAAAUAAAAACAACCCAAUUAAAGUGGAAUCCAGAUUCAAGUUCUCAAUUUAUGGAGAGCAAUGUAAAUUUUAUGCACACGUUCUUUAUUUGGACAAUCUUGAAACCACAAAGGAUUAACCUCAUUCUAUUUUUGUUGUUGUUAUUGAUGUGAUCAUUGAAAGAGAAAUCGUGUCAGUAUUGCAGUCAUGACAUAAGAAGCCACGAUGAAACUUUUAACAGACAAAAAACAUUUUGCGGUCAUAUGUGGCUAUCAAAACAUGGAUUUUGAACAAAAUUAUUUUAGAUUAUUUUAAAAGUACCCGCCCUUUUGGCUCGGCAGGGCGCCGCAAAGCGCGCAACUUCUUCUAGUUAAGGUUAACGGAGGAACACUCUAGGUCCGCAAAGGUAGCAAGUAAAGUAUACUAACAUCAUAGAUGGUUCAGUGUUGACACACUAAUUAAUUAUAUGACUGUAUAUAAGUUUAUUUUUUUCUUCAUGGUGUGCUGCACAGAUAUAGAUAGGGCCUUAGACUAUUACACGGUAAACUGAACGCCGAGCAAGCAAAAAAAUUAUCAAUUUUUUGUCUUUCAGGUUUAGAUUCGGUACGUUUUAGGGCUUGUUUGAGAUAGCUUCAUCUGUUUUCGACUAUAACAUCCAGACCACUCUCGAAUCGACGGUACUUACUCCUGCCUACUCACCUAACAUACCAACAUGAGUCUUUUCCACGCAAUUUAUCCUCACUCAUUCGCACCGGAAAAACUUCCCGUUUCACACUUUGUCCUCAUCCACUCGCACCAAGAAAACUUUUCGUUAGUUCACCUAUCCUAAAAUUACUCUGAGCCAAGCACGCUUAACUCAAAGGUUUUUUUUGAGGUGUCAGGGAUAAGAUCUUCGGGCCCAUGGGGCUCACAAGUCAGCAGGAGGACAAGGGAAAGAUCCACCCUGGAAGCACCCACCCUCGGAUAGUCUCGAGGGACUGAGCCCGGACCGAGUGAGGCGGAGCCAGAAUGGGGGGUCGGUCGAACGGAAAGGAAGCCACUCGAGUGGAUUCUACAUCUGACCCAAGACUGACUCGCCAUAAGUGAUCGACCGCAUUAACUACACCUGGCACCAAGUCGUGAUGGGAGAGUCGUUCCUCCUCCCACUCAUGACAUACGGACACCUAGUCCUGCAGCCCACUCAUGGCCUAUCAAACCUAGACCUGAGUGCAUUGGCCGUCUACAGGACCCGUAACACGACGAGACACGCCGAGACCCAGGCUAUGGAGGCCAGGGGUCGACGUGGCAUAGAGACGGUAAUGAUGGUGUCGGAGCUCUUCGCCGCCAACACAACUAGUCUUAAAGAGCACGGCCAGAGAACCCGACCAAGGCACAUGCCGACAAGCAUGACUUUACCAAGAUAGAACACCUCGUUUUACCCACGGUACAGUAGCUCCUUCCUUAAGAAGCUACCGGUAGCCGACUCCCACCUUGGCCUAUCAAAAGGGAAGGGUCGGCCAAGAGACACACGAAGAGGCAUACGCAGACAUAGAGACAGACCAAUGACAGAAGACAGACAGACAGACGACCACUUGCCAGAGGACUACAAAGGUCGAAGCUAAGGAGCAUGCCGCCAUGACGUGCAAGGCUUAGCUACAUUUAGAGCACUAGAUUCGUAGUCCUUAGGCCACUCCACACAUAAGGGAUUUGGGAGACUCCUUCCUCUCUCGCCUGCUUGUAACCCCUACUACGAACAUUGAGCAACAAGGUGUCGGUAGUGUGAGUCACCGAAGACUAGAUAUAGGGACGUUUUGCUCGAACCAGUAUAAGGGUCUGUUUGGUUGGGUUGUGGCUGUGAAAAAAGCUGAUGUGGGCUAUGAGCUGCGAAAAAGCUGUUGUGGACUAUGAACUGCUAAAAAGCUAAAAACUGAUUAGUGAAAACCACUAAAAAAGCUAAAAAUUGUUCCACAUAUAUUUUUACAGUUUCAAAAGCCGCUAAAAGCAGGUCCAGAGGUGCUUUUAGUUUUACACUGCGAGAAAGUUGACUUUUUAAAAAACUGCUUUCUAGAUCCAACCCUUUAGUUUAGCUUUUUGCUUUUACGGGGCAAAAGCCAAAGACAAAAGCCAAACCAAACAUACCCUAAAUCUCACACCCACUAAGCACACUAUUCGGACUCUAAAACACACACAAACAAAUUUACUUGUCGGAGCUGGUUCAAAACACCGAUAGAAGGUGCACCUUAUUUGUAUGAGUAUUCUACCAAUCCUAUUAAACCUUAUGCCAGUAAAUCACACAAUCCACCUGGACCAAGAUAUCAUAGAGAUUUACUAAAAACAGUUCUACCUCAUGAAAAGUUAGCCAAAUAGUUCAGAUCCAUCAAAUCUAAAUUCACCAAAAUGGUAGAUCUAGAGAUUAGCUUUGUCAUUUUGGUGGAGCACCUAAAGGUGAGAGCACCUAGAGGGGGUGAAUAGGUGAUCCUGUAAAUUCAAAAACUAAAUAGCCACAAACUUGAUUAUAGAAGUAUUAGUGUGAGUUAAUCAAGUCACUAUGAAGUGAUCUCUUGUGAACAAAAUAGUAAUAGAGAAAAGCAACACAAGAGACACACGAUUUUUAUCCCGUGGUUCGGCCAAGUAACACUUGCCUACUUCCAUGUUGUGGCGUCCCAAUGGACGAGGGUUGCACUCAACCCCGUUCAAGUGAUCCAAUGAUCAACUUGAAUACCACGGUCUUUUCUUUUUGAGUAGUCUUCCCGUUUGCGAGGAAUCUCCACAAGUUGGAGCCUCUCGCCCUUACAAUAUAGAUCACAGAGAAAGCACAAGAAUAAGGAUGGGAGAGCAAUACACAGAAGAUCCAAAUCCACAGCACACACACGCACACAAGCCAAGACUUGAGCUCGAAACACGGUAUAUAGAGUUCGCAACUUAAACAGAGCUCAAAUCACUAACACAGUCGAUCAAAUGCGUGGAGGCGGAGUCUGGGAGUCUUAGAAUGCUUAGAGAAUGCUUGGUGUACUGCUCCAUGCGCCUAGGGGUCCCUUUUAUAGCCCCAAGACAGCUAGGAGUCGUUGGAGAUCAACAUGGAAGGCUAUUCUUGCCUUUUGCCGGGUGGCGCACCGGACAGUCUGGUGCACCACCGAACAGGUCCUGUAGCUGUCCGGUGCGCGAUCUCCUACCAUAUCGGGCGCAUCCGACCGUUGAGCCGGUGGUCCCGUUGGUUCACCGGACACUGUCCAGUGCACACCGGACAGUCCGAUGUGCCCAACCGACCGUUGGCUCGGCCACUUGUCGCCCGCAGAUUUCGCUGCUGAUCGUUGGCCGCGAGCGCCGUUGGCUCACUGGAUAGUCCGGUGCACCACUGGACAGUCCGGUGAUUUUUAGCGAAGUCGCCUGCAGUUUCCCAAGAGCAGCCAGUUCACCGUCGGCCAGCCUGCACCACCAGACAUUGUUCGGUGCACCACCGGACAGUCCGGUAUGCCAGGCCCGAGCUGGUUUUGGCUGUACACAGCCAACUCUUUUCCAACUCCCUUCUUCUUCUCUUGGCUCUGUUUCUAGCACUUAGAUAAACACGUUAGUAUUCAAAAACAAUUUACUAAGUCUAGAAACAUACCUUGUUCUUUAAUUUGCACUUCUCACACAUUUGGCACAUAAGAACUCAAUUAAUAUGUGUUGGGCAUGUAAUUACCAAAACUCUUAUAGAAAUGGCCCAAGGGCACAUUUCUCUUUCAAUCUCCCUCUUUUUGGUGAUUUAUGCCAACACAUUAAAAAAACAACAAAAGAAGUGCAACAUCAAUGCAAAUGAAGAUGAAAGUAGCCUAGAGGGGGGGUGAAUAGGCUACACCUGAAAAUUUUCACUAAAAACUUCGAAAUAGGUUAAAUUAAAGUUGCACGGGUGCAAACCGGUUCAGUCGAUUUUAAUCACAACUGAACAAGUUUGAACCCACUCAACUUGAAUUUAAUAAUCUAUUGAACAAAUUCGAAGUAGUAAAGAAAAUAGCUAAAGAUUUGCCCUACACAAGAACUACUUGAAUGAAUAAUAUGAACCAACCACCGAAUAUGAAAUGUUUAACAAGAACACACAAGAACACGCGAUAUAACCCAAGGUUCGGCAACCACCACAAAGGUGUCCUACUCCUCGUUGAGGAACCCACAAAGGGCCGGGUCUUUUCCAACCCUAAUCCUCCACAAGCCGACCACAAAGGUCAAGGCAAUCUCUUCUCAAAUCUGCUUAAGGAGCGGGUGAUACAAACUUCUUGGGGUCGUCCACAAAUUUGGAGACUCCCAAGCAACCUCUAACCGUCAAGGAACACGAGGUUCCAAGAGUAACAAAUCCGCACACGGUUAAGUUUGCAACGAGCUCAAGAACAAGAGAAUGGGAGAAUCGAGAUGAAAUUGACAGCGAGUUCGAUCGAGUUCACCUCACACCAAGGGUCCUUCAAAUGAUUGAAGGAGAUGCGAUUGCGGGUGUGAGAGGUGAAGUGAAUGCUCUUGUUUGAGGGUUGGUCAGCCAAAGAUUCGUGGGAGAGGCAGAAGUAAAUGAGAGAGAGAGUGUGAGGGGGUAUAUAAAGGAUCCCCCAAAAGCUGGCAGCCGUUGGGAGAAAGAGGGCAAAAACCGGUUGAACCGGUUUUCAAACCGGUUGAACCGGUUUCUACCAGGGGGAUCCCGGUCCACUGGUCUACUCAGCCGGACACUGGACCAGUUUCAAAACCGGCUGAGUAGGGUCAAAAUUCGGCUCAACCGGUUUCAGAAAAAUAUCUGCUCCGACUUUUCUGACAGCUCUGACUGUCAGACAGGUCAGAGCAGAGGUGGCAGGAUGAACAGUACCAAAACCGGUUGAACCGGUUUUGGGACCGGUUGAACCGGUUUUGGGGGCUGAAACCAAACUUUGAGAAUUUUGAAGAGAACUUAGGUGGAGACUUUGUGGGAAGUGAAAUUUGUUUUUCUCAAGAGCAUUCAUGAUCUGGGAAAAGAUGAUCUCAAGGAGUUUUCAAAAGAAUUGAACUUGGCUCGUUUCACAACUUACUUAACCGUCGCGGAUCCCUCUUAAUUGUACGGCGAUUCUUAUGACUCAAGAAUUAUAAACUUAGUACCGCCGACGAUUCAUAGCACUUGGAGCACGCCAUUUGAUGUGGAAUUUUAAAUCCGCUGUGCUUUAUACUUUUAUGCUCGUAGGAUCUGUGCUUCUUCUGUCUGUAAAAAUACUGUGUACACACUAGGAGCAAACUUGUUAGAAUCUUAGUUUGUUUUGUCAUUAAUCACCAAAACCCUCAAUUAGGGUUGAUUGCACUUACAGAAGACCAAAUUCUUUUUACUUAGGAUUUAGCAUAUUUGGAUCACUCUUUGCCACCACUUGAUUUGUUUUUGCAAAUCAAAUUUUUUUUCCUAUCUCUAAGUCAAACACGCUUGUUUGUGCUAAUAGAGAUAUUCCAAGAGUGAAAUUUGUCAAGUGCCAAAAACUCCCCCUUUUUCCCGUAAUCAAAAUGCUCCCCGUAAGAGACCAAUUUUUGCAAUACGAGUAUUUUGGACAAAUCACAAAUUCUAACUCUACUAUUUUCAAAAUUCUCAAGUGGUUGCUGAUCCAUUUGCUUUGGCCUUAAUUUCUCCCCCUUUGGCAUUAAGCACCAAAACGGGAUCAUUUUUGGCCCAAGUAACCCCAUUGCCUCACCAAAAUGUCAAAAUAAGAGCCAAAAGGCAAUGAGAGCAUAAGUAUGAACUUGGAAAUAAAUAUACUAAUACCGGAGUGCAGUGGAAGUCUUUUCGUCGUCCAAGUCACUAGUAAGAAUGUGAUCAUCAGUGACGAUUUUCUAGUGACGCUGGUGACUUCAGUCACAGGUUGAUACAUUUCUAUGACCAAAUUUACAUCUUCGUCAAUAAUUACAAGUGACAAAGAUUAGACUUGAAUAUUAAAGACAAAAAUGAAAGGAACGUCAUAGACACAAAGUUUGGACGCAACAAGUUCGUCACAGAUUAGAUUUGAUAUCGUCAUCGCUAAUUUGCCUUGAUAGGCUGACGUAAUGAUGAAAUAAAUUGGUCACAGAUGAGUUUUAGUAAAAAACGCCCCACGUGUACACACCACUUGACGGCGUGGGAUCCUUGGCCUACAUGGGCCGCAGUUUUUUGGGACACAGCCCCCGCCUGGCGACGCGGCCCCGACCCACCAACUGGAAGCGGCAGUUAUUUAUUUGGCAAAAAAAACUUGCGCCCGCGGAGCUUCGAACCAGGGACCUGCGCCUUUCUUUGAAUCGGUGUUACCACCAGACUACUCGCUUGUUCUUGUAUAUAAAGAAAGUAUCGUUCUGUUAACAGGUGUUCCCAUCUGUCGUUCUGUUAACAGGUUUUCCCAGCCGCCAUUCUGCGAUCUGCAUGGCUGUUCGCCUGUUCUGAUUCUGCCUUCUGCGAUCUGCGCUUCUGCGAUCGGCCCUUAGGUUACGGCACACAACGACGCUGGCGUCUGUCGUCGUCUGCUUGAUCGACAACUGGGUAGCGUCGCAGCGAACGAG
RNAcentral lists this long non-coding RNA (9445 nucleotides) under Zea mays. RNAcentral describes it as "long non-coding RNA (ZMAY_LNC004157)". Lineage: Eukaryota; Viridiplantae; Streptophyta; Magnoliopsida; Poales; Poaceae. The record is from RNAcentral.